AGACAUGUUAGGGAAAACGAAAUUAAGGUGGCCGGAAGGGUGAGAGGCACGGUAUCAUCCGGAUCAGGAGCAGGCGGAUCAAGACGAUGAGCUUGGUGAGGCGGAGAUCGGCGGGUGGUGGCAUGGCACCGUCCAACCUUUCUACCUCGCGGCGGAUCGAUUGGCGCCUCAAAGGCCAAUUCUGGCGGCGGCGCAGCCGGGCAAGUCGCCUGUUU
RNAcentral lists this long non-coding RNA (215 nucleotides) under Hordeum vulgare. RNAcentral's name for it is "long non-coding RNA (HVUL_LNC003612)". The record is from RNAcentral. Lineage: Eukaryota; Viridiplantae; Streptophyta; Magnoliopsida; Poales; Poaceae.